CAUGAAUCGACUCAUGGCUAAAAGGGCUUAACGGCACGCAAAAUUUUUGGCUGCCACAUUCUGUGAGUCGACCCCUUGACUUUCUUUCUGGUAAAAUUUAUUUUUUAAAUUUAAUUUUUUUUAUUUUUUUUAAAUUUUAAUUUUAAAUGACAAAAGUAAGUUGAAAAAUUAUUCUUUAUAUUUUUUUACCGACCUUCUAACGUCGGUGG
RNAcentral lists this long non-coding RNA (209 nucleotides) under Elaeis guineensis (African oil palm). Its description in RNAcentral is "long non-coding RNA (EGUI_LNC049454)". Lineage: Eukaryota; Viridiplantae; Streptophyta; Magnoliopsida; Arecales; Arecaceae. The record is from RNAcentral.